CUCCUCUCCUGGUCGUCCAAGGCGCGAGGGCUCAGUUGUUCUCCAUGGUUUCUUGGAUCCAGUCCAGGACCCCGGAGUUGCUGCAGAACACCCACCCCCAUCCUUCCCAGAGCAGGUCUCACCUGGCAGGAGCCCCGGCCCCCCUCCCACAGGCCGGCGCAGAGCAUGCUCUCAGAGAUGUGGCCUGGGUACGCCCGAUGGCAGAGCCGGGGCUCCAGGAUGCUGAUGUUGGCACACUGCAGCGUCAGUGGGUACUCCACUGUUGGGAAAGCAGGUCGGUAAAAGGUCAGCAGCUGCCUCCUCGCAACUCAGCCCUCCCCCUCCCCCCGCUUUUCGAAGACGGACCCACCGCCCCACAGCACAAGACUCUCCAGACUCUCCAAGACAGGAACAAGUGACAAAGCAACAGGAUCACAGUUUGGAGGAGAGACAGAUGGGGACGAAGGGGAGAGGGCCGGAGAGACAGAGAAAGAUGCAGAGGGCCAAGAGCCAGUACUGCCGUGGGAAGCCGAAUUUGACUAAUGGAUAUGCUGAUUUCUGACUCUGAGUGACAUAGACCUUAUUUCAGUUCUGAGAUGCAUGUAUUUUCACAAGUAAACAUCUCUGAAAUCAGGAUGUGCCUUCCUAGUAAAUGAUGUCAUACAGGGAUGGAUGGAGACUUCCCUGGUGGUCCAGUGGUUAUGAAUCCAUCUGCCAGUGCAGGGAAUGCGGGUUCG
Odocoileus virginianus texanus is the source of this 716-nucleotide non-coding RNA. NCBI's taxonomy places the organism in Eukaryota, Metazoa, Chordata, Mammalia, Artiodactyla, Cervidae. The record is from RefSeq and is a predicted model, not a curated record.